GCUAAAGUGCUAGCAGCUAGCAGCAUAACGUUCAAGUUCGGUCCGGGGAGGAUUUCAUUGACAGAUAAAAAUGUCCGGAAUUUUAUCGUUUUUCGGGAGACCAAUAAGCAUCCUUAAAAUGCUUGGAAUACACCAGCCUUUCUCCUUGCCAUCGGGUAAUAAGAUUAGAAAGAAGAGGAAGACGAAGCCUUUCUCCUCCAGGCGGAGCUGCUGCCUGGUGGUCGGUUCGGAGCGAAUGGCGUAGGAGUGCGCGAUUUCAACUGAGAAGCCUGCAGAAAACCCUACCCUUAGUGUGUCUGUGCCCUUGACCUUGUCCUGCGACCUUUGACCCUGACUUUAAUCCUCUCAGCCCUCCUCUGAGCUCGUUGUUUCAUGCCUGGUCAUGCACAGUAGCAGCAGCAGCAGCAGCAGCCGCCAACACGUUUGUUUCAGAAAGAUGCAGCCUGAGCCGUCAGCAGACAGCUUAGAGCUACAAAUCACAAGAUGCUGAAUAAGACGUUAGUUUCUGGUGAAAACUCAUCAGUUUAAGAACAAACUUCAGCAAAACAUUCAGCUUUAUUUGUCGAAGCUUCUCCCUAUUAACCGUGGAGCAUUUCCUGAAGUUCCUCCACCUCUCUUCAGCUCAACCCAACCCCACAGGGAGCUCCUGUUCGCGCUGCGGACGCCAUUUCGUCGAGUCUGCCCCCCGCUGAGCUGCGGGUCGAUUUUAAGCCAACAUGCACCAUUAACGAAGCCAUACUGGCCUUUGUGGUGGAUGGGGGGUGAAGAACGCACCCCGCUGGCGCUGGAGGCUCGGACCGAGCAUCAAGCCUCACAGAAGGGUUUUACUGCUCUGGCAGCCCUAAUGAGGAGGAGCAGGAAGAAACAAGUGAUCCUGGGAAGGGACUCUCUUAUUUGUCCUGGAAAAACAGCUUAAUGCAGAAUGAGCUGCUUUACGGUGUGAUGUCUCUAAAUCCUUGCAAGUUGCUGCAGGCCACAGCCCCCAAAUCAAAUUUGCUUUCUCACACCAAAAUGGCUUCAAACAGAUGUGCAAUUAUACAACCUUACAUCGUCGAAAAGCAGAAGUGGAGCCUGCUGUCAACCAACAAGAAUCCAGCAAAUGGUUUCUGGAGGACCCGCGUGUGUGGUUCUGAUCCAGUUUUUCCUCAGGACCUGCCUGGCAUUGUGCUGCUUCCUGUCCUGGCAGACAUUAUGGGGACAAAUAAGAGACGGACGUGUGCGCAGAGACACACAGAAAUACACAC
This is a long non-coding RNA of Poecilia latipinna (sailfin molly), 1244 nucleotides long. RefSeq lists it as uncharacterized. The transcript has 7 exons. NCBI's taxonomy places the organism in Eukaryota, Metazoa, Chordata, Actinopteri, Cyprinodontiformes, Poeciliidae. The record is from RefSeq and is a predicted model, not a curated record.